This 298-nucleotide small RNA is filed under the name Lachnospiraceae bacterium A4. RNAcentral describes it as "5' ureB small RNA". It matches the Rfam family "5' ureB small RNA". The record is from Rfam by way of RNAcentral. Lineage: Bacteria; Bacillati; Bacillota; Clostridia; Lachnospirales; Lachnospiraceae.
AACAUGGUAUCUGCUGUGGAGCAAUAAAAUGAAUAUGGCUGUCAAUACCGCCCGCAGUCACAAUUAGAUUUUCUCCCGCCAGAGCCUCCGUUGAAGCACCGAUUGUCAUUCCAGGCGUUACACCAUCCAUCAAAUCUGGAUUCCCCGCUUUUCCUAUUCCAACAAUUUUACCAUCCUUGAUACCGAUAUCUGCUUUGAUGAUACCAGUAUAAUCAAGGAUCAGACAGUUUGUGAUGACCAGAUCCAACACUCCGUCUUUACUGCACGCUUUCACAGACUGUCCCAUACCAUCCCGGAU